RNAcentral lists this ribosomal RNA (380 nucleotides) under uncultured bacterium. RNAcentral's name for it is "partial 16S ribosomal RNA". It matches the Rfam family "Bacterial small subunit ribosomal RNA", at positions 338 to 710 of the family's 1533-position model. The record is from RNAcentral.
CCUACGGGAGGCAGCAGUAGGGAAUCUUCCACAAUGGGCGAAAGCCUGAUGGAGCCACGCCGCGUGGGUGAAGACGGCCCUAGGAUCGUAAAACCCCGUUGUUAGAGAAGAAAGUGCGUGAGCGUAACUGUUCACGUUUCGACGGUAUCUAAACAGCAAGCCACAGCUAACUACGUGCCAGCAGCCGCGGUAAUACGUAGGGGGCAUGCGUUCUCCGGAUUUAUUGGGCGUAAAGGGAAGGCAGGCGGUCUUUUAAGUCUUAUGUGAAAGCCUUCGGCUUAAACGGAGUAGUGCAUUGGAAACUGGGGGACUUGAGUGCAGAAGAGGAGAGUGGAACUCGAGGUGUAGCGGUGAAAUGCAGAGAUAUAUCGAAGAACACC